UGGACCUCUCCUGAAGAUUGUGGCCACAAGACAAGGAGGAGAGCAUUGGGGUUGACAGUGCCGAAUCAAAAGAAUGCUCCAUCCCCGGUUUGGAUUCCUGAGCACUGGGUGCGCCCUAUUGCUGUUGACAAAGGUCCAGACUCAAGAAAUCUUCUGGGCAUUGGUAAAGGCACUGCUGAUAGUAAUGCCUGUGGGUCUGCAUGCCCCAGUUUAGCUGAUGAUGAUAACAACAAACUGGACCACCAGAGGGACGGUCUCUCAAUUGUUCUUCCAGAUCCUGCAAAUUGACAAAUUGCUGGGGAGCUAAAGACUCCAUGGUGUUCGUGCAAGUUCCAGGAGUGAUUCCAUUGUCAGUGAAUGCCAGCAUGAGGUUUCCCCUAACCUUCUAUCAAGAAAAAGAUUUCGAGAUUGCCCUUGCUAUUGUGACCACUGUUGCCGCGGCCACAACUACUGUUGCAGUUGCUAGUGUAGCCCUGAGACAGACAACUGCUGUUGCUGCCACCUUGGAUUGGCUUUCUGGAGAGGUUGCCUCAGCUCUGUCACUUCAAUGCUAUUGAUGGACAUAUACAACUUGGACUUUUACAAGAACAAUUGGAUUAUGUUUGGGAGGUUCAUGGAAGUGGCCCACUCUUUUGGAUGUUGUGCCAUUUAUUGUUGCUCCUCAUGAAGUGGUAAAAUUAUCUUGUGAUGUGGGACACCUGACUGCCUGUCUUGGAAGGACUUUGUAAACUUCAUGCAUGUCAUCUAUAAAACAAAAAAGGGGAAGAAGUUGGGACCCAGCCCCCACGGGGUCUCUGUGAGUUGUUUUCCAGCAUAACCACAGACUCUCGCCUGGUCUGGUUCUUCAGGCAUGGGUGCUGGCGCUGGAGCCUGUGACAAGUAUCCAUUCUCCUACCUGCUAUACAAGUUGCCUUGCACUAAUUAUGAAACUUCCACUUGCUUCAAUUUCCACAAUCAAGAAAUGGGAACAAUAGUGCCAGGAAGAUGGAUUUGUUGGUAGAAAAUAGAAGACUACAUGUGCAUCAACCAGUAAGUGAUAGUUGUCAUUAUUAUGGAAAUGAGGCAUUGUCUUG
Cricetulus griseus (Chinese hamster) is the source of this 1073-nucleotide non-coding RNA. The record is from RefSeq and is a predicted model, not a curated record. NCBI's taxonomy places the organism in Eukaryota, Metazoa, Chordata, Mammalia, Rodentia, Cricetidae.